UCCCUGAAUGACUAGUGGUUAGGCCUCGGCACUCCCUGCCACGGCCCGGGUUCGAUUCCUGGCCAGGUAA
Molecule: non-coding RNA, 70 nt
Organism: Pangasianodon gigas (Mekong giant catfish)
Lineage: Eukaryota; Metazoa; Chordata; Actinopteri; Siluriformes; Pangasiidae
Source: the annotation of a GenBank genome assembly